RNAcentral lists this long non-coding RNA (1100 nucleotides) under Anser cygnoides (Swan goose). RNAcentral describes it as "lncRNA (ENSACDG00005004260.1)". The record is from RNAcentral. Lineage: Eukaryota; Metazoa; Chordata; Aves; Anseriformes; Anatidae.
GAGGGGUCCGUGGGGGCCGCGAAGGGCAGCGGUGCUCGGAGACUGGGCAGCGGUGCGGUCGGGUGAGGCCAGGUCAGUCCAGCAACAGCACUGCGCUUGGCCCCAGCCCAUCACAGCCCGAUCGUGCAGCUGGGGGUGAUGGCACGCGGCGAUGGCGCGCAGCGAUGGCACACGGCGAUGGCACGGCGCUGCUCAUCAGGAGGCGACAGGAGCGGCGAGGGCGCAGAAACGCAGAGCCACGCUGGGGCACCUCGGGGUCAUCGCCGCCCUUCCUCAGGCUGCGUCCCCUGCUGCAGUUCCGCCUGGAAGAAAGAAAGAGCUCGCGAGACCUGAGCGUGCAGGAGCCCUUCUCCGAGGUGUUUCCGAAGGCUGGAAGGAGGUGCUGCCUGUACACGCGGCCUGCCGGUACCGCCCGGUACAGAGCGCAGAAAAACCCUGUGAAGCACUUGAACAUGAAUGGCUUAUGUGAAACUACGAUCGUUCCUUCUCAAGUCAGUCACCGUUCUCACGCUGGGGCUGCUUCCCCCGUUAAGCUCCAGCUGCACAACCCCCGCGCCGCCCCAGACCGACGGCUCCGCUCAGCGCGCUCCCCCUGCCCGGCCGGGGCCGGUGCCAGCGCCGCACCACGGUUCAUCCCAGCUGUAAUUUCACCUCGGUGAAGGAACCUUACUGCACAGACCCUUAUAGGGACAAGAAAUACGUCUAAUUACCAUAUCCUUAGAAUAGACGUAAUAUAAAUUUCAUUACUCACUUAAAAGUUCUAAAGUUAACAGCAUAAACUUGAAGUUGAGUAAUUAAGUAAUCCUUAUAUAGACACUUAUUAAAGUAUUUAUACAUAUUAUCUUAAAUCUACAUCUAUCAUUUUGCCAAUUAAAAUUAGGACUUUAAUUGCAAUUAAGUAAUUUAAUUGCCAAUUGAACAGCAAAAUUGCUAAGUGACUAAUUUUAAUGCCUAUUUUAAUUACCAAUCAUGACUGGGGAGGGAGCUAAUCAAGCGGUAUCAGAGUAAUGAUGUGAAAAAAAACGGAGAACAAACAUUCAAGACUACAUGCUUUUAAAAAAGAACUCUAAAUUAAAUAAAUGCAAACACAAUUUUAUACA